RNAcentral lists this non-coding RNA (520 nucleotides) under Cryptosporidium parvum. The record is from RNAcentral. Lineage: Eukaryota; Apicomplexa; Conoidasida; Eucoccidiorida; Cryptosporidiidae.
AUGGACUUUAAAGAAAAAACUGCAGCUUCUCUUAAUAGUGGGUGACUUUCAUCAACAAUAGUUGUACAUUCAAUUAACAUGCUGAUUCCUUUAGGAAAAGUUAAGAGGUCUAAAAUUAUAUUGAAAACUUACCAUCUUGAUUUUGAGAGAAUGAAUUUUGGAGUUGAACGUUCCCAUAGCAAAUUGUAGAAAUUGCUUGAAUAAUUGAAGCCAUAGAGAUUUCCUCGCUGACUAGUUUCCAUGUAGCUUUUAUCUCUUCAACUAUAAUAUGAUUGGGACAAAUUAAAUGUCUCCUAAACUUUAGCAUGAUUCUCAGCAAGUCUAUAAGGCUAAUAUUGACUUUACUAAAGAAAUCAAUAUUACUUUCAUCUUUAGGGGUACUAAUUCUUAAAACAGAAACCCAUCCUUUAAUAUUACCAAGCUUUGAUAUGCUGAACUUUACUAAAUUUUUAUUUUCCGAUUUUAAGGACCAAUCUUCAAUCUGAAGAUUAAUAAAUUGCUCUAAAUAGGAAACUCCCAC